CACGGCGGGAGCGCCGGUAGAACGGGCCCUGCACGGCGUGAGGGUGGAAGACCUGUAAGGUUUCCUGCAAGGGGCAACCCUAGAAUACCGAUUUCAGUCUUUUCAUUCUACGCAAGCACCUUAAAAGCCUGGGCGCUGUGGCUGCAUGUCUGUCAUACUCCAGCCUUUGUAUCAGGGCCGUGAACACUGCCUCAGAAAUAGGGCAUUGGAGAUAGCAGCUUCCUAAGUAGUGAUUCUGUGCUGCUCACAGAGGAUUUACCCGUGCCAAAUACCUGGGUUAUAUUUAGAAGAAGACUUCAAACAACCUUCACCUCAGCUCAUACAAAAUGCCCUCGGAUGGAAGUCAAGCACUGCACAAAUCAGGAGUCACUUUCGGGGUAGCAUUGUGCAAACCGUGCAGCACGGCUGGCAUCGGCUUCAGCUCAGUGACAGACACGUCCCCAUCACAGCCAGCAUCCCACCCCUCCCAGAACCACCUGCAGCACCACCCUUUCCUUUACGCCUUCUAAGUUGUUGCCCAGGACAUUUUAUUAGCUCUGCUCAGCUGUACAGCACAAAGAAUGCAUAUUUCUUCUUCUGCAUAGUGUUGUCUUUACCAGUAAAAUUUAGCUGGGGCUUGAUGUUCAGAAGGGUGAAGAGAUUAUGAGAGAAGGGAAUAACCCAGGCCAGCUGUGUAUAUUCUGACUGCUCAUUUAAGCAAAGGCAAGGAAAGCAGUCUGGCUGCAAAAAGUAAAAUAUUACAGGCUAUAUCAUAAGGUUUGGAUGUGAACAUAUGUACACAAUGCUUCUUUCACAGGAUUCCUGCUGUAAACUUUGUCCUUUACCGGGUGAUUCAAUCCUCUGUAAUGAAAAAGCUGCCCCCACUCUGAACUUUACUGUUUUUUUUUUUUUCUUUCCAAAGAAUACUAAGAGACUAAAACAAAAGACACAAGAAAGUAUACUCCAACUUGUGCUCAAAGAAUCUUUCUUGGAAAAUGAAAAGCCAUGGUACCAUUGGGAUCAGCCAUUGAAAGGCACUGAAACUUUGCCACAGCCUUCACAGCUGCUACAGAAGUUCAUUUGAUACAGCGCUGCAUUCCCUGUAUGGUUAAUUCACACUUCUCUGGAAGAAUAUAAACCUUCUAGAGCAAAAUGUGCUGAGGAUGGCUUUCAGCUGCCACGUUCUUACCUAAAGCCAAGUGCUUUGGAAGUGCAGUACAGGGAGAAAAAAAUACUUCCUAAGCUCUCUCAUAACACUGAAGAAAAAAUAUUGUGAGACUUGGACCAAACUCCUUGAGAAACAGAUCCACUGUGAAUUUUUCCCUGUUUUCCUGCAUGUAAAUCAUUCCAAAAAGGUACAGCUACAUUGACAAGAUGAAGGAGAAUGAGACAAAACAGAGAGUAGAUGAAGUCAGCCCAUGCAUUGAAAGUGAGCCAAAUCGUGAAGGUGACUCAUUAUGAAGAUGUAAACAAUCACGGUUGGUGACUCAGUGGUGAGGAAGCUUGGCUAAGACAUCUGUAGUCCAUAUAAAGAAAACAGGAUGAUGAGAUUUCUCUGGGGUAUAGUGAACACAACUGAGUAAUUGCUUAGUGGCUUUGUGAAAACUAUCAAAUAUAUAACAUCAGAGAUGUUCUGCAUUAGACAGAGAAGCACUUUGCACACAGCAACUAAGUACCAACUUUGAGAAUUAUCAAGCCUUUGGUUCCUGCUGUUCACAGAAAGCUGCAGAUGGCUGCCUCAGCAGGAAGCCCUUCCCCCUUCCUUAAUGGAACUCGUGGGAAUGCGGGGAUCCUGGAACCGAAGCCCUCCUUCCCUUCCAAACCUCCUCUCCAAACCCCUACUGAGUAAAAGGAAAAAAAUCCCUACAUCCCUGGAAACAUUUUUGCCAGCCUGUUUUUCAGUAAAAACUUAAAUUAACCACUUCACUCCUGAUUAUAAUAAAGAUUUGUUAUUGAAACAG
Molecule: long non-coding RNA, 1940 nt
Organism: Pezoporus occidentalis (night parrot)
Lineage: Eukaryota; Metazoa; Chordata; Aves; Psittaciformes; Psittacidae
Exons: 7
Source: RefSeq, a predicted model, not a curated record